GGAAGGAUCAUUAUUGAUUGCGAAUCGUUGUCUUCAGUGCUGGCCAGCUCUGGCAAGUGCACGUUGGCGGCUUUUCAUCCAAUACCCCUGUGAACCUUUGGCCUCUUGCUGGCUUUGGCUGGCAGAGGAUUUUUUACACCCGCUCGAAUGUAAUGAAAUUAUUGUUGUGCGCAAGCACUACUGUACAACUUUCAACAACGGAUCUCUUGGCUCUCGCAUCGAUGAAGAACGCAGCGAAAUGCGAUAAGUAAUGUGAAUUGCAGAAUUCAGUGAAUCAUCGAAUCUUUGAACGCACCUUGCACCCUUUGGUAUUCCGAAGGGUAUGCUCGUUUGAGUGUCAU
Molecule: unclassified non-coding RNA, 341 nt
Filed under: uncultured Sebacina
Lineage: Eukaryota; Fungi; Basidiomycota; Agaricomycetes; Sebacinales; Sebacinaceae
Description: sequence contains ITS1, 5.8S rRNA gene, ITS2
Rfam family: 5.8S ribosomal RNA (bases 187-340)
Source: RNAcentral